GACAGAGGGUGCAAACGUUGUUCGGAAUUACUGGGCGUAAAGCGCGUGUAGGCGGUUUGGUAAGUCGGAUGUGAAAGCCCUGGGCUCAACCCAGGAAGUGCACUCGAUACUGCCAAGCUAGAGUAUCGGAGAGGUUGGUGGAAUUCCCGGUGUAGAGGUGAAAUUCGUAGAUAUCGAGAGGAACACCGGUGGCGAAGGCGGCCAACUGGACGAAUACUGACGCUGAGACUCGAAAGCGUGGGGAGCAAACAGG
Molecule: ribosomal RNA, 253 nt
Filed under: uncultured bacterium
Lineage: Bacteria
Description: partial 16S ribosomal RNA
Rfam family: Bacterial small subunit ribosomal RNA
Source: RNAcentral